RNAcentral lists this ribosomal RNA (375 nucleotides) under uncultured organism. RNAcentral's name for it is "partial 16S ribosomal RNA". It matches the Rfam family "Bacterial small subunit ribosomal RNA", at positions 527 to 896 of the family's 1533-position model. The record is from RNAcentral.
AGAGGGUGCAAACGUUGUUCGGAAUCACUGGGCAUAAAGCGCACGUAGGCGGUCGUGUAAGUGUGGAGUGAAAUCCUAUGGCUUACCCACUAGAACUGCUUUGUCAUACUGCACGACUCGAGGAUGGUAGGGGAGGAGCGGAACUCUUGGAGGAGCGGUGAAAUGCGUAGAUAUCAAGAGGAACACCAAUGGCGAAGGCAGCUCUCUGGUCCAUUUCUGACGCUGAGGUGCGAAAGCUAGGGUAGCGAACGGGAUUAGAUACCCGGUAGUCCUAGCCCGUAAACGAUGAGCACUAGUUAGGGGUCCUCCCUGUGGGAUCCCUGACGAAGCUAAUGUAUUAAGUGCUCCCGCCUGGGGAGUAUGGUCGCAAGGCUA